This 221-nucleotide ribosomal RNA is filed under the name uncultured bacterium. Its description in RNAcentral is "partial 16S ribosomal RNA". It matches the Rfam family "Bacterial small subunit ribosomal RNA", at positions 555 to 775 of the family's 1533-position model. The record is from RNAcentral.
UGGGCGUAAAGCGCGCGUAGGNGGUUUGUUAAGUUGGAUGUGAAAGCCCCGGGCUCAACCUGGGAACUGCAUNCAAAACUGGCAAGCUAGAGUNCGGUAGAGGGUGGUGGAAUUUCCUGUGUAGCGGUGAAAUGCGUAGAUAUAGGAAGGAACACCAGUGGCGAAGGCGACCACCUGGACUGAUACUGACACUGAGGUGCGAAAGCGUGGGGAGCAAACGG